UACGGAGGAUCCAAGCGUUAUCCGGAUUUAUUGGGUUUAAAGGGUGCGUAGGCGGCCUGUUAAGUCAGGGGUGAAAGACGGUAGCUCAACUAUCGCAGUGCCCUUGAUACUGAUGGGCUUGAAUGUACUAGAGGUAGGCGGAAUGUGACAAGUAGCGGUGAAAUGCAUAGAUAUGUCACAGAACACCAAUUGCGAAGGCAGCUUACUACAGGGACAUUGACACUGAGGCACGAAAGCGUGGGGAUCAAACAGG
Molecule: ribosomal RNA, 253 nt
Filed under: uncultured bacterium
Lineage: Bacteria
Description: partial 16S ribosomal RNA
Rfam family: Bacterial small subunit ribosomal RNA
Source: RNAcentral